ACAGAGUUUGUCGUUGCGUUUAAUUAGGAACAGAACCAAAUUAAGGCACGCCUAACUCUGUCU
Molecule: microRNA precursor, 63 nt
Filed under: Caenorhabditis briggsae
Lineage: Eukaryota; Metazoa; Nematoda; Chromadorea; Rhabditida; Rhabditidae
Description: microRNA cbr-mir-124b precursor
Gene: cbr-mir-124b
Source: miRBase by way of RNAcentral